GACGAACGCUGGCGGCGUGCCUAAUACAUGCAAGUAGAACGCUGAAGGAGGGGCUUGCUUCUCUGGAUGAGUUGCGAACGGGUGAGUAACGCGUAGGUAACCUGCCUGGUAGCGGGGGAUAACUAUUGGAAACGAUAGCUAAUACCGCAUAACAGUAGAUGUUGCAUGACAUUUGCUUAAAAGGUGCAAUUGCCUCACUACCAGAUGGACCUGCGUUGUAUUAGCUAGUUGGUGAGGUAACGGCUCACCAAGGCGACGAUACAUAGCCGACCUGAGAGGGGGAUCGGCCACACUGGGACUGGGACACGGCCCAGACUCCUAAGGGAGGCAGCAGUAGGGAAACAUCGGCAAUGGACGGAAGGCUGACCGAGCAACGCCGCGUGAGGGAAGGAGGGUUUCGGAUCGGAAAGCUCUGUUGUAAGAGAAGAAAGAGUGGGAGAGUGGAAAGUUCACACUGUGACGGUAUCUAAACAGAAAGGGACGGCUAACUACGUG
Molecule: ribosomal RNA, 495 nt
Filed under: uncultured bacterium
Lineage: Bacteria
Description: partial 16S ribosomal RNA
Rfam family: Bacterial small subunit ribosomal RNA
Source: RNAcentral